GCUACUACCGAUUGAAUGGUUUAGUGAGGACUCCUGAUUGGCGCCGCCGCCCCGGCAACGGAGCAGCGGACUGCCGAAAAGUUGUUCAAACUUGAUCAUUUAGAGGAAGUAAAAGUCGAACAAGGUUUCCGUAGGUGAACCUGCAGAAGGAUCAAGAACCGAAGAACGGCGGGUAGGGAAAGAGGGUAGGUCCCGGUGGUCGCCGUCUCAUUAAAAAAAAAAAAAACAUAUAGUAUAACAGACGAACUAACAACAAAUGUAGCGAUCUAUCUAG
RNAcentral lists this unclassified non-coding RNA (274 nucleotides) under sea anemone metagenome. Its description in RNAcentral is "partial contains small subunit ribosomal RNA and internal transcribed spacer 1". The stretch from base 1 to 157 matches the Rfam family "Eukaryotic small subunit ribosomal RNA", at positions 1678 to 1831 of the family's 1831-position model. The record is from RNAcentral.